UGUCUUAUAUAUUUUCACAGAGAGAGAGAGAGAGAGAGGGGGAGAGAGGGUAGGUUUGCGGAGUAGUAAUGGAGGGUGGGCUACUGCAGGGACCAUACGAUGCCACAGUGCGGCUGAUGCUAGCUUCAUUGGAGCGCAAUCUGCUACCGGACGCUGUAAUCCGGAGGCUCACGCGGCUGCUUUUGGCCGGCCGCCUUCGCUCCGAGUACAAGCCAUCUUCUGAGCUCCAACUCUCCCACCUCCUUCAAUUCGUGCAGUCUCUAAGAGAGAUGCCCAUAGCUAUCAAGACUGACGAGCCAAAGGCUCAACAUUAUGAACUACCAACCUCCUUCUUCGAGUUGGUCCUUGGAAAGAAUCUUAAAUAUAGUUGUUGCUACUUCUCUGACAAGUCAAAAACUCUGGAGGAUGCUGAAGAAGCAAUGCUGGAACUCUACUGUGAGAGGUCACAGUUAAAAGAUGGUCAUUCUGUUCUUGAUGUUGGAUGUGGCUGGGGAUCACUCUCUUUAUACAUCGCAAAUAAGUAUAGAAACUGCAAGGUUACAGGGAUUUGUAAUUCAACAACCCAGAAAGCAUUUAUUGAGAAGCAGUGUGGGGAUCGUCAGCUGCAAAAUUUGGAGAUCAUUGUUGCAGAUAUUAGCACAUUUGGAAUGGAAACAUCCUAUGACCGAAUAUUUUCCAUCGAGAUGUUUGAGCAUAUGAAGAAUUAUAAGGAUCUUCUGAAGAAGAUAUCCAAGUGGAUGAAACAGGACAGCCUUCUGUUUGUUCACCAUUUUUGCCACAAAGCAUUUGCCUACCACUUUGAGGACAUAAAUGAAGAUGACUGGAUUACUAGAUACUUCUUCACUGGAGGAACAAUGCCUUCAGCAAAUCUGCUUCUUUAUUUUCAAGACGAUGUGUCUGUUGUUGAUCAUUGGCUUGUGAAUGGAAAGCACUAUGCACAGACAAGUGAAGAGUGGCUUAAAAGAAUGGACAAGAACUCAACCUCCAUAAAGCCAAUAAUGGAAUCAACAUACGGCAAGGAUUCUGCUGUCAAGUGGACCGUCUACUGGAGAACAUUCUUCAUUGCUGUCGCAGAACUCUUUGGGUACAGUAAUGGAGAAGAAUGGAUGGUUGCACUUUUCUUAUUCAAAAAGAAAUAAAAAACCAGAAGCCAAAGCUCCUCAGUCCUUCCAGUUGAUUUACUUCUCCUAGUCUUUAUAAACUUGAAGUCCGUGUCUGAUCCCUUCCACCAGUUUAAGUGCAUAUGACUGACCAUAUGUACGUAGUGGCAGUUAGAGCUGCAUCUCUGUGUCAUAUCCGGCGACUUCUAUCAUUUGUAAUCUUCUAUGGCCUGACUGGAGCUAUUUGUCUGCGUUCCAUUGUGACAAGCCCUGAAGUUGUCUUGCAAAGUUUGUGCAUAAAAAGUCAUUGGGCCGUGAUCAUGAUGAAUUGCCUUGCCCCCUUUAAAUGAAGCAAAUGAACAGGCUAAUGGAUAUUGUAGAGAUGAAAGAUCAAGAUAUGAAACCUUUGUUCUUUUGAAGGGUGUGGAUUGGCAUUGGUUUCUGCUAUCGAGUUUUCCAUAAAAGUCAAUGAAGCCUUUCAUUCAAAAUUAUGUUGUAUAAUGUCGAGGUUUGUUAUGAGGAACUCUUUUGAUCAUGAGCCAACUCUUUCAUUUCCAUUAUUGAUUGCAAGCCAAUUCUGCAUACUCAUCCUGUUUAUAAACCAGAGACUGACCAACUAGAUUUAAACGUUAGUUGGGGUUCCCCUCUAA
Molecule: RNA transcript, 1750 nt
Organism: Carya illinoinensis
Lineage: Eukaryota; Viridiplantae; Streptophyta; Magnoliopsida; Fagales; Juglandaceae
Gene name: (S)-coclaurine N-methyltransferase-like
Exons: 10
Source: RefSeq, a predicted model, not a curated record